This 1211-nucleotide long non-coding RNA is filed under the name Pogona vitticeps (central bearded dragon). RNAcentral describes it as "lncRNA (ENSPVIG00000007554.1)". The record is from RNAcentral. Lineage: Eukaryota; Metazoa; Chordata; Lepidosauria; Squamata; Agamidae.
AUGCCAGUGCAGAAAGGGUUACUUUUUGGCUGGGUACCACUGUGCACCUAUCAGUCAAUGCCGGUGCUUCCACAAAGGCAUGUGGCUUAAGGUUGGCGUGAAGGUGAUCACACCAAACUGCAAAGAGGAAUGCAGCUGCCAGCGCCAAGGCCAGGUGGUGUGCACACCACUUCCAUGCGGGCCUGGGCAAGCUUGUGUCUUGAGUAAUGCCAAGUGGACUUGUGUUCGGCAGGAGGGGCAUUGCACCGUCGCCCACGGGCAUAUCUUCACCUCUUACGAUGGGGUAUCAGGAAAGCUUCCUCUGGACGGAGCCUAUGAGAUCUCUGCCCUCAACGAUGCCCAGUCUCAAUCUUGGUUCCGGGUGGUGGCGCAAGUGCACAAGUGCUCCACCUGUCCUACCCCCGUGGUGGUCUCUGUCACUAUCUACUUCCACAAGUUUAUUUUGCUGAUCAAGCAGGAUAACUCAGUUUCGGUAAGAAACAGAAAAUCACCCCUGACAGAAGUCAUGUUCUUCUCACCUUGCUUUUCUGCAUCUUCUACUUUCUUUUUUUUCCAACAGAACAUGAAUGUAAAUAAUUACCCUCCUAAUCAAAUUAAGGGACGUGGUGGCGCUGCGGGCUAAACCGCAGAAGCCUCUGUGCUGCAGGGUCAGAAGACCAAGCAGUCGUAAGAUCGAAUCCACGCGACGGAGUGAGCGCCCGCCGCUUGUCCCAGCUCCCGCCAACCUAGCGGUUCGAAAGCAUGCAAAUGCUAGUAGAUAAAUAGGGACCACCUCGGUGGGAAGGUAACAGCGUUCCGUGUCUAAGUCGCACUGGCCAUGUGACCACAGAAGAGUGUCUUCGGACAAAAACGCUGGCUCUAUGGCUUGGAAACGGGGAUGAGCACCGCCCCCUAGAGUCGGACACGACUGGACAAAAAUUGUCAAGGGGAACCUUUACCUUUUUACCUUUAAUCAAAUUAAAGGAUAAGAAGUGAGAGUAGCAAGAGGAAAUGAAGAACAAUUAUGUAAUUAGCAGAGGUUUUUAGUUGGAUCCAAACCUAGUUGUAGUAACUCUUUAAAAUCAGUGGAACUUAUAUUACCAGUGCAUUUAACAAAUGCUCUCCUAUUUUCUCAUCCAUGAAGGGAAGAGGUGUCUCAGCACAACAAGACACUCUACCAAAAAGAAAACGAUUAACCAAAACAUGUUAGAUUUUUUUGCAUCUGCAACAGA